Molecule: ribosomal RNA, 253 nt
Filed under: uncultured bacterium
Lineage: Bacteria
Description: partial 16S ribosomal RNA
Rfam family: Bacterial small subunit ribosomal RNA
Source: RNAcentral
UACGAAGGGGGCUAGCGUUGUUCGGAAUCACUGGGCGUAAAGCGCAUGUAGGCGGAUGCUUAAGUCAGGGGUGAAAUCCCGAGGCUCAACCUCGGAACUGCCUUUGAUACUGGGGAUCUUGAGUCUGGGAGAGGUGAGUGGAAUUGCGAGUGUAGAGGUGAAAUUCGUAGAUAUUCGCAAGAACACCAGUGGCGAAGGCGGCUCACUGGCCCGGUACUGACGCUGAGGUGCGAAAGCGUGGGGAGCAAACAGG